This 433-nucleotide ribosomal RNA is filed under the name uncultured bacterium. Its description in RNAcentral is "partial 16S ribosomal RNA". It matches the Rfam family "Bacterial small subunit ribosomal RNA", at positions 29 to 507 of the family's 1533-position model. The record is from RNAcentral.
AACGAACGCUGGCGGCAUGCCUAACACAUGCAAGUCGAACGAACCCUUCGGGGUUAGUGGCGCACGGGUGCGUAACGCGUGGGAAUCUGCCCUUUGCUUCGGAAUAACUCAGGGAAACUUGUGCUAAUACCGGAUGAUGUCUUCGGACCAAAGAUUUAUCGGCAAGGGAUGAGCCCGCGUAGGAUUAGGUAGUUGGUGGGGUAAAGGCCUACCAAGCCGACGAUCCUUAGCUGGUCUGAGAGGAUGAUCAGCCACACUGGGACUGAGACACGGCCCAGACUCCUACGGGAGGCAGCAGUGGGGAAUAUUGGACAAGGGGCGCAAGCCUGAUCCAGCAAUGCCGCGUGAGUGAUGAAGGCCCUCGGGUCGUAAAGCUCUUUUACCAGGGAUGAUAAUGACAGUACCUGGAGAAUAAGCUCCGGCUAACUCCGUG